RNAcentral lists this transfer RNA (72 nucleotides) under Ktedonobacter sp. RNAcentral describes it as "tRNA-Lys". It matches the Rfam family "tRNA". Rfam says of the family: Transfer RNA (tRNA) molecules are approximately 80 nucleotides in length. Their secondary structure includes four short double-helical elements and three loops (D, anti-codon, and T loops). Further hydrogen bonds mediate the characteristic L-shaped molecular structure. tRNAs have two regions of fundamental functional importance: the anti-codon, which is responsible for specific mRNA codon recognition, and the 3' end, to which the tRNAs corresponding amino acid is attached (by aminoacyl-tRNA synthetases). tRNAs cope with the degeneracy of the genetic code in two manners: having more than one tRNA (with a specific anti-codon) for a particular amino acid; and 'wobble' base-pairing, i.e. permitting non-standard base-pairing at the 3rd anti-codon position. The record is from RNAcentral. Lineage: Bacteria; Bacillati; Chloroflexota; Ktedonobacteria; Ktedonobacterales; Ktedonobacteraceae.
GUCGGUGUAGCUCAGUGGUAGAGCAAGGACCUUUUAAGUCCGAGGCCGUGGGUUCGAGCCCCACCACCGACA